GAUGAACGCUGGCGGCGUGCCUAAUACAUGCAAGUCGAGCGAACAGACGAGGAGCUUGCUCCUCUGACGUUAGCGGCGGACGGGUGAGUAACACGUGGAUAACCUACCUAUAAGACUGGGAUAACUUCGGGAAACCGGAGCUAAUACCGGAUAAUAUAUUGAACCGCAUGGUUCAAUAGUGAAAGACGGUUUUGCUGUCACUUAUAGAUGGAUCCGGGCCGUAUUAGCUAGUUGGUAAGGUAACGGCUUACCAAGGCGACGAUGCGUAGCCGACCUGAGAGGGUGAUCGGCCACACUGGAACUGAGACACGGUCCAGACUCCUACGGGAGGCAGCAGUAGGGAAUCUUCCGCAAAGGGCGAAAGCCUGACGGAGCAACGCCGCGUGAGUGAUGAAGGUCUUCGGAUCGUAAAACUCUGUUAUUAGGGAAGAACAAAUGUGUAAGUAACUAUGCACGUCUUGACGGUACCUAAUCAGAAAGCCACGGCUAACUACGUG
This 497-nucleotide ribosomal RNA is filed under the name uncultured bacterium. RNAcentral's name for it is "partial 16S ribosomal RNA". It matches the Rfam family "Bacterial small subunit ribosomal RNA", at positions 28 to 507 of the family's 1533-position model. The record is from RNAcentral.